RNAcentral lists this long non-coding RNA (2252 nucleotides) under Capra hircus (goat). Its description in RNAcentral is "lncRNA (ENSCHIG00010016548.1)". The record is from RNAcentral. Lineage: Eukaryota; Metazoa; Chordata; Mammalia; Artiodactyla; Bovidae.
AUGCUACAUCACAAAUGGCUGCAAAGAUCGAUGACUAAACCACACAGUCUCAACAGGUCAGCAGCAGGGUGUCGGAGCCAGAGUCACUCUGGGAUCCAGUCCAACAGAGGCUGCACGGACCCGAACAGCAUCUGUGCACGGCUGGAGCAGUUGAAGAGACUCCCUGUCACUUUUUCAGCGCCUCCACUCAGAAGGACCACCUACCCUCCCGCUUCUGUCUCACUGGUGAGGNNNNNNNNNNNNNNNNNNNNNNNNNNNNNNNNNNNNNNNNNNNNNNNNNNNNNNNNNNNNNNNNNNNNNNNNNNNNNNNNNNNNNNNNNNNNNNNNNNNAGAAGGACCACCUACCCUCCCGCUCCUGUCUCACUGGGCAUAUGUAUGUGCUAAGUUGACGCCAACCUCAGCACAUCAUCUGAAUGGAAAGCACGAAAGAAUCCAAGUAAGAACUGCCCAGCUGAAUCAGGCCAACUCUUAGGAUUGUAAGAGAUAGUAAUGCUAAAUGACUGGGACUUCCCUGGUGGUCUAGUAGUUAAGAACCUGCCAUGUAAUGCAGGAGACACGGCUUCCAUCCCUGGCCUGGGAGGAUUCCAUGGGCCUUGGAGCAACCAAGCUUGUGCACCACAACUAUUGUUGAGUCAGUGCUCUCGAUCCCAAGAACUGCAACUACUAAGCUCUCGUGCCGCAACUACUGAAGCCCUCUCCCCUUAGAACCUGUGCUCAACAACAAGAGAAGCCACUGUGAUGAGAAGCCCGUGCACUGCAACUAGAGAGCAGCUCCCACUUGCCACAACUAGAGAACAGCCUGCACAUGAACAGAGAUAUGUAUAUAUGAGUCCACCUUGCAAUGCAAGGGACGCGAGUUCAAUGCCUGGUUAGGGAACUAAGAUCCCACAUGCUGUGGAGUGACUAAGGCUGCGUGCCACAACUACUGAAGCCCACGUGCUCUGGAGCUCACAUGCCACAGCUAGACAGUCCGUGUGCUGCAAAGAAAGACCCUGCAUGAUGUAGCAAUGAAGAGGCUGCGUGCCACAACCAAGACCUGACCCAGUCAAAUAAAUACAUAAAUAUAUUAAAAAAUGGUUAAACAAUUAUUGUAAUUAUACACCACUGGGUUUGGUGGUGUUUAUUAUACAACAAUGGAUAACUGAUACAAGAUCUCUUCCACUGGGGUAAGUGGGGCUCUGGAAAGGGGAUGAGGGGGACUCCUGUCUGGUUUCCUUCAUCCUGCUGAAGGAGGUCACUGUCUUCCUUUCUUGCCUCCAUCCCAAUAUGACCUUUGCAUAUGAUCACUUUUCACUUUCUACUGCUCUUAUCUGAAUUCCAGGUACUAUCACCUCCCUCUCUAGCCUCUCUGAGGCCAUUCUUGCACUUAAUCCCCUAAACUAUCGUCCACACAGCAAUGACUUGCCCCCCCAACUCUUAAAAAACAUUUUAUUUUGGAAUACUUUUUGAUUUGCAGACAACUUGUCCUAUAGACUGUGCUUGGGUCCCCCUGAAAUUCAAAGGUUGAAGCCCUAAACCCCAGUUUGAUGGUAUUAGGAGAUGGGGGUCUUUGGGAAAUAAUUAGGUCAGGCAGGUGGAGCUUUUAUGAAUGGGAUUAGUGCCCUUAUAGGUAAAGAACCUGCUUGACAAUACAGGAGACAUAAGAGAUGUAAGUUUGAUCCCUGGUUCAGGAAAAUUUUCUGGAGGAGGGCAUGGCAACCACCUCUAGUAUUCUACCCUGGAGAAUCCCAUGGACAGAGGGGCCUGGCGGACUAGAGUUCAUAGGGUAGCAAAGAGUCGCACACAAGUGAAGCUACUUAGUACUACACAGCAUAUAGUGCCCUUAUAAGGGAACUUCCGAGCUCUCUGCCUCUCUCUCUUCCUCCCUCCUUCCUAUCUCUGUUUCUAUCUCUAUGUCUCUCUCUCUGCCAUAUGAGGGUACAGCAAGGAGAUGCUAUCCACAAUAAAGGAAGUGGGCCCUCACCAAAUACCAGAUCUGCCAGAACCUAGAUCUUGGAUUUCCCAGACUCCAGGACUGUGAGAAAUAAGUGUUGCAAACCCACCCAGUCUGUAGUAUUUUUGCUAUAGCAGCUUGACCAGACUAUAAUUUGCAAAGGUGGUUGGUACAAAAAAUUCUUGUCUACCUUCUGCCCAACUGCCCCGAAUGUUAACAUACUGCCUAACCAGGCAUAUUUGUCACAGCUAAGAGAUUAACUAAUGUUGAACAAAUUUGGAAAACUUAGCAGUGGCCACAAGACUGGAAAAGGUCAGUU